UUGCAUUUUUCAGAUGUACUAGAACACACCCGUGAUAUCGCGGGUCCGUGACUGAAUUAAAGUAUAUAACUAUGCGCAAGCCUUAUUUUAGUAUUAGUAUUGUCAUCUGAUAAAGUCAUGCCGAUUAUAAGAUACAGUUUUCUCUGCUUUCAAAUAUUUCUGUUUGAACACGUCGAACUGGAACUUAUCAAUUAUUGGUAAUAUUAAUUAUUUGGAAAACAAAAGGUCCUAGAAUGGAGUAUUUUUUAAUCAACAGCAUUGUCCUAUAUUAGUUAUAGAUAAAGUUGAAUUCUUUGAUUCGCUGUUUUACGUCAUGCCCGCUAACAAAUUGAAAACUGUACCUAUAUGCCUUAUUUUUAGUCCAGAUUUUUAGUAUUCGUAUUGUUAUCUUAGAAAGUCUUACUGAUUAAAAUACUACAAUAGGUAACAAUUUGACAAUUUAGUAGUGUCAACCCUGUGAUUAUGACCCGUGUAUUUAGCAUAUUAAUCCUGAAUACACCGUUUGUUGGUGCGCCUGUCAGAUGCGGAACGUACAGAUAAGGUAAUAGGUAACAGGUGAAUAUACUAUUGGUAUCGGUAUCGGCCUCGACCCGGAACUUCUUAAUUAUUGGCAAUAUCAAUUACGUGGAAAACAAAAGGGCCUGGAAUGGUGUAAUUUUUAAUCUACACCUUUGUACUAUAUUAGUUAUAUAUAAAGUUGAAUUCUUUGAUUCGUCGUUUUUACGUGAUAACGGCUGACAAAUUGGACCUCGUAAUUUUAGUAUUAUAGAU
RNAcentral lists this long non-coding RNA (771 nucleotides) under Mytilus galloprovincialis (Mediterranean mussel). Lineage: Eukaryota; Metazoa; Mollusca; Bivalvia; Mytilida; Mytilidae. The record is from RNAcentral.